Molecule: ribosomal RNA, 251 nt
Filed under: uncultured prokaryote
Description: partial 16S rRNA
Rfam family: Bacterial small subunit ribosomal RNA
Source: RNAcentral
ACGGGGGGUGCAAGCGUUGUUCGGAAUCACUGGGCGUAAAGCGCGUGUAGGCGGAUUGUUAAGUCAGAUGUGAAAGCCCGCGGCUUAACCGCGGAAGUGCAUUUGAAACUGGCAGUCUAGAGUAUGGAAGAGGGAAGGGGAAUUCCCGGUGUAGAGGUGAAAUUCGUAGAUAUCGGGAGGAAUACCGGUGGCGAAGGCGCCUUCCUGGGCCAAUACUGACGCUGAGACGCGAAAGCGUGGGGAGCAAACAG